GGCUGGUCUGAAGGUAGUGACUUGUCUCACUUGACUGCCCACAGUCGGUUACAGGUUGAACUCCUUGUUCUACUGUUCCCCCGACCCCUUCUCACCUCUGCAUUUGGCUAGUCUAAA
Molecule: unclassified non-coding RNA, 117 nt
Organism: Otolemur garnettii (small-eared galago)
Lineage: Eukaryota; Metazoa; Chordata; Mammalia; Primates; Galagidae
Rfam family: Y RNA
About the family: Y RNAs are components of the Ro ribonucleoprotein particle (Ro RNP), in association with Ro60 and La proteins.
Source: Ensembl